Molecule: long non-coding RNA, 1008 nt
Organism: Gasterosteus aculeatus aculeatus (three-spined stickleback)
Lineage: Eukaryota; Metazoa; Chordata; Actinopteri; Perciformes; Gasterosteidae
Source: Ensembl
CUGGCUGCCCCGCUCCAGUGACCUCAGCCCGUUUCCCGACAUCUUUUUUUUCAGACAGCCCGAUGUCCUGCUUGACCACAAACGAAGCAGUGAGGGCAGCUAAUUUUUCCCUGUUGUACACAGUCAUUGCAUCGGCCCCUAGUCUCUCUUGUUGGUGCCUGAGGUCGGACUGCUGAUGGGCAGGUGUCCUUUGGUGUCGCACUGUCAGUAGGUUUACGCAUCUGGGCCAGAUGUUUGGUCAGUGAGGACACUUGUGCCGUCAGUUCUGUAACGAGCCCCUAAUUGUUACCGGCACCAGACCUCGUGGUGAUCUGGACCGGCACCAAAGGUUACAAGGGCUAGGAAGCACUGUGUAGCCUGUGGAUUAAUAUGGAGAGAGGGCACACGUUAGCGUCAUGCUCAAGCCACAGCUAGUUUUAUUCUGAGCUGCGCAUGAGCGGAGCCUGUAGCACCACAGCGCCCUCUACUGACGUGAUCGUGUAAUAUCUCAAUAUAACGUCUGAUAUUGAGUUGGGUUUAAUAACACUAACUUGUAGCAUUUCCAACCUACAACAUGUGUAUAUUUAGUGUUAAUGCUAAUGCUAUCCUAAUGUUGCUCUCUGUCUGCUGGAAUAAUAGGCAUGAGUUUGCAACAUUAGCCUCAUCAACUGCACUGGUGCAACAUGCCAGUAUUGUUUCUAUUGCUUCUCAAAGCACUGCAUGUUGUCCUACUACAAUACACUCAUUAAGCAUUAAAGAGAUCAGAUGUCAGUUCACGAGACAUGCAGAGGACACACAGAGAGAAAGAGAUUCCUUGCUUUAUAAUUAGAUGAAUCUUUGUGACCUAAUCCUGACACGUUUAACACGGUCAUAUCAUUUCUUUGUGAGCAUUGAGCUGUUGCUGCCCCUCUGCUGCCCCUCUGGACGUCAGGAUGUCGGCGAUGCACUGGGAGGCCAGGCGGCGCCAGAGCGCUCUGGACCGCAGGACGGCCAGAGACAGACAGCAGGUGCACCAUCUGUCACUGUCAG